GCCGGGGUUGCCGAGUGGUAAGGCGCGCGCCUGGAGAGCGCGUGGGCUAUGCCCGCGUGGGUUCGAAUCCCACCCCCGGCG
RNAcentral lists this transfer RNA (81 nucleotides) under Geoglobus acetivorans. Its description in RNAcentral is "tRNA-Ser (GGA) (tRNA-Ser-GGA-1-1)". It matches the Rfam family "tRNA". Rfam says of the family: Transfer RNA (tRNA) molecules are approximately 80 nucleotides in length. Their secondary structure includes four short double-helical elements and three loops (D, anti-codon, and T loops). The record is from RNAcentral. RNAcentral also lists the same sequence under 1 other name. Lineage: Archaea; Methanobacteriati; Methanobacteriota; Archaeoglobi; Archaeoglobales; Archaeoglobaceae.